UACGUAGGGUGCAAGCGUUAAUCGGAAUUACUGGGCGUAAAGCGUGCGCAGGCGGUUUUGUAAGUCUGUCGUGAAAUCCCCGGGCUCAACCUGGGAACUGCGUUUGUGACUGUAUGACUAGAGUACGGUAGAGAGGGGUGGAAUUCCUGGUGUAGCAGUGAAAUGCGUAGAUAUCAGGAGGAACAUCGAUGGCGAAGGCAGCCCCUUGGACCUGUACUGACGCUCAUGCACGAAAGCGUGGGGAGCAAACAGG
RNAcentral lists this ribosomal RNA (253 nucleotides) under uncultured bacterium. RNAcentral describes it as "partial 16S ribosomal RNA". It matches the Rfam family "Bacterial small subunit ribosomal RNA", at positions 524 to 776 of the family's 1533-position model. The record is from RNAcentral.